AAAUGAUUCAUGGUACUGGGUGAGCUCAUCUGGGAUCUUAGCCUGUGCUGGGAGUGCAGUCUACCAACAAUUAUAGCAGUUUACAGGCUGCAAUAGGAGAAUGAAAGACAGCAAGAAUUUUCUGUCCUGGCACUUUUGUGUGGAGCGACCCAUGAAUGUUUAGAAUUGUCAAGCUUAGUUGCAGGCUAUUAAAAAAAAAUAAAGGGAUUGCACAUUUAAGUGAGAAGGAAAGCACAUGGCCCCACUGUUUCUGGUGUGGUUUGCAGCCUGCAUGAGGCAAAAAAAAAAAAAAAAAAGCACGCAACAGCUUUCUGGCCUGGCAGCUUUUCUGUGAGAGCAGUCGCUGGACAUUUUCAGUUUUGGAGCUGGAAUCUGACACGAGUAAACAAUGCUAUGUACACUGAGGUGGGGAGGAGAGCGCAUACCCCGGAGCUGGUGGAGCGGGUUACGGGCUGCAGUGGAAGAGUGAAGGUCAGCACUGCGUCCUGCCCGGAUGUUUUCUGCGGGAGCGAGGCGCGACGGGCUCGGUCUGGGGCUGCCCUGGGUCCGCAAGGGAGCCCCGCGGUACCCGGAGCCGGCGGGGCGGCUGCCUCGCCCCAUCUAGUGGUUACGGGGAGCGGCGCCGGGCGAAGGGGACAGCCAGCAGCAGCUCUCGGUCCUGACACGUUUGCUGGGGCUCUGCUGCAGCUCCUCAGCAUAACAGCAGCAGCAGAGGCACCAGGGACACCAGGAGCGCCUGCCAAAGCCAGGGUUUCCAGUCCCACUCUAGGACAGCACAGUUCAGCUCCUGAAAAGUUAUGUAGCUGCUUAAAGUUGUUCUACUACUGGCCAUGGAGAGAGAAAAGAAUCUCUGGAGAACAUCCUUUCUGCCCCAAAGCAGAGCCUGAUGGAUAAAGUGCAUCUUAAAAAUUCAGCACUCCACUCUGAUGGCACUGGGAAGAGUUUUCUGCCAUUUGCAGUGUGCACCAGGAUAUUAUCUUGACUCUCAGGAUUGUAAAUGCUGCUGCUGUCACAUCACAGCUUUAGUUGGCGCUUAAAGGGACUUCUUGGGUAAGCUGAAUUCUGUGUUUGAAAGGCCCUUCUGAGUUCUGGUUAUGUCACUAACUACACAAAGUGCGUAAGAAAGUAAAUAUUGUGGAAAGAAAUAAGAGGACAACCAUUGUGUAAAUAAGGGAAAUGCUUGUGUCUAAAACAGGAUUUCAGAUGACUGAUGGUUCAGCAUUACAUUAUUAUGCAUUUUCUGUAUAUCAUUAACAGUCUCCCUCUGUAAUCUGCGUAUUUUUCUAAUAUAAGAUUCCUUUGAUGAUCAUCCAUUUUAUUAUGCUUGGGGAUUUUUCUAAUUACCAGAGUCAGUGCAUCAUUAUUUUUGCUGUUCUUACACUCAUUAAUGAUCUGUGAAGAUUUUUUUCCUUUUAGAUGUUUUUUUCCAGCACAAUACAGCACAUUGAUGUAAUGGGAAGUAUUUUGAAAACCAAACUAAUUUUCCCAAAAACUGUUUCAUGAUAAUUUCCCAUUUUCUGUUGAAGCCAAGACACAAGUUUGUAAUCUUGGUGUCAGAAUGCUGUCUACAUGUUCUGGAAAUGCUGAGACUGAACACAUUCUCCAAUAGCAGUGUUGCAAUGAUUUAUUCUGGAUCCUUUUAAGACUGACUCUUGGUGCUUUUUAUGUGCUCAACCAGUUGUACUUGAGCUUAGGUGAAUCUCAGGUCUUCAAAUCUCAAGCAGUGUUUUAGAAGUAAAUGAGAUACUUCAAGUAUAAAAUAGCACAUCUUGAGACUGGAAUACCAAAACUAGAAUGCAAUAAAGCUGAAUUCAUUUAGGAAAAUAUCUGCUAGGAGUCAAAACUGAGAACAGAAAUUCUCAAGCACAGACAAUGAAAGAAAAGAACUUAAAAGGAACAAUGACUAUGGGGUUUAUAUUGUUUAUAAGAAAGCAAAUCCAAAUACAAUGUUUUGGAUAUCUCCUUUGUGAAAGAAGCACAAACCAAGUUUGGAAGCACAGAUCCACUCUCAAUUCAGUCUUUGAAAUAUGGAUCAAAGUUGUCUGCACCACAGAGGCAUCAGUCAGCUCUGCUCUUCUUAUCUUUCUUUUGGCAUCCGCUUUGUAUCUCAUUGGGACAACUUCAAAAUUAUUUUCUGCUAUAAAUUUUGAGAGACUUUUUCCCCCUGAAAUUGAAAGACAUAAGUGACAUCUCUAAAGGGUGACUGCUUCUGUCUAGCACAGAGCUGGUGGAGCUGUGGUCGAUAAAGAUUAAUCCUGUCUGACAUACUGCUGGUUCAAUUACCAAACUAGAAACUCUGCAGAUAAGUUAUAUCAACUUGAAAUGAAAUUUUAAAGUAAUUUUCUGUUGAGGUGGUCAAACAAAACAGUUGGGUUGAACUCUACAGUUUGAACUAUUUAGAUCAGAAAUCAGCAGAAACUAAGGUGAGGAUUGUGUACCACUCAUGAAAUGGAAGAUUAGGAGCAGCUCAAUACCAAUCGUGGGGAAAAGGAAUAUCCCUGGAAUAAAGAACAGUGGUUCAAAUGCCCCAUUCCAAAGUUUUGUGUGUGUCCUCAGUGCUCUGUGCCAUUCACUGUGCUGAGAUGGAUGGAGGACACAGGCACCCUCACAAUUUCUUCCCCAUCAGUUAACCAUGGUUAAGAGGUUCAUGGGUUAAUAUUUAAACCUUGGGUCAGCUCCAAGGUUUAAAUAUUAUUUGGGACAAAGAAACCUGGUUUUCCUUCAUAAGCCUCCUUCUGGGAGCUCUUCUUCAGGAUCAUCCUUCUCCUCCUGCUGUGCACAGCAGUCUGGAUUCAUGCUUGGAGAUGAGAGAUGGGCAUCAAGAUGCUGUGUCUGCCUUCCUGUGUCCUUCUUUGGCAUGAAAUCUGGAUCCCUGUACCAGGCUGCUCCAUGGCAGCACCUCCAUCAGUAGCAUCUGGAAAACUGUCACAUGAGUCACCAUCACUCAUCAGUGACACCAGUAGCUUCAUGCUUGCUCCCUGGGGUUAUUCAUGCAGAUUUUCAUGCUGAAAUUGGCAGGACAUACUGCCCAGGUGAAGCCAUGAUUUCAAGGCAACCUGAUGCAUUCUUUCAGAAAAAAAUAAAUAAACUCUCUUCUGUGUUGUUAGAGCCGUGUAUCUAUGCAGUGAGGCUUCUCAAGUCCACAAGCUGUGUGAUCAAAGCUCCAUUCUGCCUCCUCUUCUCCCAGCUCAGUGGAAUUUUGCUGAACAUAUGUGAAGCCACAUAAGGGUUUCUGGGAUCAUUUUGGCACAUUAAGUCAGUAGGACUGAGGCUGUUAUUUCUCCUCAUCUCCAUGGUAACCUCUCACAAACUGAUAUUUUACCCACAUGCAAAUGCUUAACAAGGAGCAUAUGCAAUUCAAUGCUACAGGAGGUUAUGUUAAAAAGCCUCCUGUACAAUAACCAUGGUUGUUCUGCUGUAAACUGUGCUCCACAGUUGGAGUUCUGGCUGAAAAGCUUUUGAAGUCUUUUGAAACUGUUAUUUUCUGUCUCAGGUGAAAUGGGCUAAAAAAUAUCUGUUUCCCCUGGUUCUCCUAACAGCUUGUCAGUGUCACACUGGAGGAAAGGGAUGUCAUCCAAAGGGACCUGUUCAGACUGACAAGGUGGACUUUUGUGAGCCUUGUGAAGUCCAGCAAGGCCAAGUACAAGGUCCUGGAGUGGGGUAGGGACAAUUCCAUAGCACAAAGAGAGGCUAGGUGGAGAAUGGAUUGAGAGCAGCCCUGAGCAGAAGGAUUUGGUGGCACGGAUGAACAAGAAGCAUGCCAUGAGCCAGCAAUAUGCAGUCACAGCCCGGAAAGCCAAGCCCAUCCUGGUCUGCAUCCAAAGCAGUGUGGGCAGCAAGGCAAGGGAGGGGAUUCUGCCCCUCUGCUCUGCCCUUAUGAGACCCCAUCUGGAGAGCUGCAUCCAGCUCUGGGGUUCCCAACACAAGAAUGUGGUCAUGCUGAAACAAGCCCAGAGGAGGACAGGAGGAUAUUCAGAGGGCUGGAACACCUCUGCUAGAAAACAGGCUCAGAAAGCUGGAGUUUUUCAGCCUCAAGGAGGGGAGGCUCUGGGGAGACCUCAGAGUUCCUUCCAGUGCCUAAAGGGGCUGCAAGAGAGCUGGAGAAGGACUUUAGACAAAGGUGUGGAGUGACAGGACAAGGGGCAAUGACUUCAUAUUGAAAGAGGGAAGGUUUAGAUUCGAAAUUAGAAAGAAAUUCUUUCCUGUGAGGGUGGUGAGGCACCGGCACAGGUUGUCCAGAGAAGCUGUGCCUGCUCCAUUCCUGGACAUGUUUAAGGACAGGCUGGAUGAGGCUUUGAACAACCUGGUCAAGUGGAAGGUGUUGAAACUAGGUUGUCUUUAGGGUCUCUUUCAACCCAAAACGUUCUACAAUGCAUUUUCGUGCCUUAUCAACAUGAGUUCCUUCAGAGAUCUUAAGCAAGUACAGUGUGUGUACAAGCACUGUUCUUCCCACUUCUGCAUCAAUAGCGUUCUAUUGUCUGGUUAGAAUUUGGAGUUCCCUUUGUGCUCCUUUGGCUUCCUCAAUGGGUUCCCAAAUUUCCUGUCUGACUUGGCAUUGGUGCCCUGGCUGGACUCUUGCCACCCUCUGCCAACCAAAACCCCACACAGCCCUUUUUUGGUUAUGCCAUCAGUUAACCUUAUCAUGGAAAACAACCUGUCCAGCAAGCAGGAUGUUUCUGACUCGGGAUGUCAGUUCUUCACUGCUCAGCACUGGGAGGAAGCUGUCAUCCAUGUUCAUGAGAGCCCUACAAAAAAAGCAGCUGGAUCCAAGCCUCCACUCGCGUUCUCCUUUGUCAACUCCUGAACAUUGGAACCAAAGAAUUUGGGCUGCAGGCACUUGGCACUGACCUGCACUUGUGUGGUGUCCAUGGCCAUUCCCAGAAGAGCUGCCCAGGUGGAGUCUCAGAUCAAACCUCAGCAGUUUGCGCAGGCACCCCACAUCAGCUGACCUGUGAUACCUGGUCGUGCACAUGUUCUUGCACCACCUCAAUCCAAGGAAAGAAAAAAAAAAAAUAAAGCGGCAAUUGCAUGAAAUUCACCAGGCUGGAGACUUGCUGACCGAGGGGCUGGGUGAAGAAGGGACAGUAGGAGAUGGGAAAAUGAAAACACUUUUAUCAUGAGAAAGUGAUUUGCAGAUUAAAGUAUCUGACCCUGAAAACAAACUAUCGCCCUGGAAACGCAGCUUCCGGGAAAACUCAAGUUCAGGAACUAAACCACAGUAAUUUCUCAUGUUAUUUUAGUGCAGCAAAAGGAGAGAAAAAACAAGCUUUUAAUUCAGCAAUUUGUUUUCUUUGACAGUGGAAUCAAUAUCUGGGGAAAGGUCUAUUCAAUUUAUGUGAUCCAGCAGAAAGAAAAAUGAGGUGAGGGGAGUUACUUCUGAUAGAUCUGAUUGCAUGAUACUGAUACCCCCCCUUGAAUCCAUCCAUCAUUAUAUUAGUAAAAGGUAAAGUACCGAUACAAUCGCUGAAAUGGAAAUAUCUGCUUUAAAAAGGGAUUACUUGUUUUGAAUUUCUUUUACUGAAAAAUUAAAGGAUUUCAGCAUUUUAGAGUAAUAAA
Long non-coding RNA from Haemorhous mexicanus (house finch), 5556 nucleotides. RefSeq lists it as uncharacterized. The record is from RefSeq and is a predicted model, not a curated record. The transcript is spliced from 5 exons. Lineage: Eukaryota; Metazoa; Chordata; Aves; Passeriformes; Fringillidae.